Molecule: long non-coding RNA, 186 nt
Organism: Trematomus bernacchii (emerald rockcod)
Lineage: Eukaryota; Metazoa; Chordata; Actinopteri; Perciformes; Nototheniidae
Exons: 3
Source: RefSeq, a predicted model, not a curated record
GAUAGCAGUGACCACAAAACACAUGUCAAAAGCAGGACGUACAGACAUGCUGACGCUGAUGGCCAUGCGCUGGAAUCAGCAAAAAGUCAGCAACUUGGCCACCUCACUGUCCCGCAGAUAUCUGAAGACCACAAAAGCUCUGGAAAAGCAAUUGCAGAACCUGGAGUCCAUGAAGGCUGAGUUGAC